UCCCCCCCCCCCCUUCCUCUUUCCACUCUUUCCAUGGUGGUUGGCAGAUCAAUCGUGAUCGUCAUCUUCAUCGACACCAACAUCGUUCCCUGAUCAAACUUUUGUUAGUCUUUCGUAGAAAAGUAUAACUGUUUAUAAUAGAAAAAUUAGUGUCAUCUUGAUGUUUGCCACUUGAAGAUUAAACAAAUGAGCUGGCUUCAAAGGGAAUUCCACUUCCAGAGGUUGGUGACUGAUCCUAGGAUUCCAAUUUACAGGUUUCUGAAGCACUAAUUUAAUGGAGAUUGAGAAAGAUAAAGAAAAGAAAAGGGAAAAAAAUUACCUUUCUUAAUUCUCAGUAAACAAAGAAGAGAAAACCAAACCCAGGCUUAGAGAAAAGUCAAUAAGGGCAAGUUCUUUCCUUUCCUCCUUCAGCCUGUUUAUUUUCUUUCUCCUUCUGCCCCUCCAAAGACUUUCAUUUCAUUCUUCUUCCUUUUCAAGGUAUUGUCUUUAUUCUUCUCUGUUGAAAACAGAGGAAAUAGUCUGUUCUUUUCUUCUUGGGAAUUUGAGUGUUUUGGUGGAUCGAUGUUGAGUGAUAGCUGAAGAAGGUGAGAAUCUGGAGAGGGGUUGAAUUUUAUGGAUAAUCAAUGUUGCUUCAAAUCUGUAUAUUCCCAGGUCAUCUUAUAUUCAGUUCAGUCCUUCCAAUUUAGAUUGUUUCAUCAUAUGUUUAUGUAUGAUUGGAUAUCCUUGGUUGGUGAUUUUGAUUAGAUUUUUGUAAGGACAUGAUCUAGUUUAGUGGCAUCUUUGAUUUCAUGCCAGAUUCUGUGUGCAUGAGCAAUUGCUAGCUUAGUACCAAACCUUUUCUGGGUUGUUAUUACCUGCAUUACUAGUCGAUUGUAUUCCUUUUAUUGUUUUGGUCGGAAGCAUCGGAGAACAUCACUAGCCUUGUGCUUGUGUUGUGCAAAUACUGUUUCAUUUACUAACACAGCAAUGGCUUACCGUGAGAGAGUGCUCUUCUCGGUUCCCGUGGUUAAUGGCUUUUUGGGAAUCAGUUAAAAGUUUUAUUUACAU
Molecule: long non-coding RNA, 1047 nt
Organism: Hibiscus syriacus
Lineage: Eukaryota; Viridiplantae; Streptophyta; Magnoliopsida; Malvales; Malvaceae
Exons: 3
Source: RefSeq, a predicted model, not a curated record